UUAACUCAGGUUUGUAUGAAGUUUGAACGUUUGCCUACGUUUGCCGCUAGGGGCGAUGUUCCAACUUCAUACAUAUUUCAGUUA
Molecule: microRNA precursor, 84 nt
Filed under: Bombyx mori (domestic silkworm)
Lineage: Eukaryota; Metazoa; Arthropoda; Insecta; Lepidoptera; Bombycidae
Description: mir-2807 microRNA precursor family
Rfam family: mir-2807 microRNA precursor family
Source: Rfam by way of RNAcentral